RNAcentral lists this ribosomal RNA (564 nucleotides) under Triticum aestivum (bread wheat). Its description in RNAcentral is "partial small subunit ribosomal RNA". The record is from RNAcentral. Lineage: Eukaryota; Viridiplantae; Streptophyta; Magnoliopsida; Poales; Poaceae.
AUGGAUGUGGGGAAACAUGUUGUAUUUCUUAAGCUUUUUGAUGCGGAGACCCAACUGCUACUGGUUAAGUUCGAUCAUCUGACCAUAUGGGCUGGGAUUUUGGCAUUACCUCCAAGAUUAAUGAAGGCGAAAUUUGGAAUGGAGUUUGCUAAGCCAAUUGGCAGGAUUAUUCAUGUGGAAUCAGAUGCUGAUGGACGAUGCUGGGGUGCCUACAUGCGUGUCCGUGUCGAGAUUGAUGUGCAAGAGCCUGUGAUUCGAUAUGUGACUGUGACCUCAGCGAAGUUAAAGACAACUGAGAUGUACUCUGUAAUGUAUGAGAAACUUCCUUUUUACUGCUUUUCUUGUGGUCUGCUUGGUCAUUCAUCUAUGUUGUGUCCUAAUCCGAGCAUCCGAGAUGAGAACGGGGAGCUACCUUAUGCAUCUAGGAAAUUGUGUGUUGAUGAUCCCUUGAGGAAAGGAGGCAGUCAUGGCUCCAGCGAAGCUUUGUCUUCCUCUGAGUUCAUGGGACAUGCAGGACCUAAGUCUUCUUCGGCUGCUGGUACCGGUGCCAAAAAAUCUGCUUGA